Molecule: ribosomal RNA, 425 nt
Filed under: Arabidopsis thaliana (thale cress)
Lineage: Eukaryota; Viridiplantae; Streptophyta; Magnoliopsida; Brassicales; Brassicaceae
Source: RNAcentral
GAUCCCUCUUUUUGUUUUUCGGUUUUCUCUAUUUUUUUUGUUAAAAAUGUAUGACUCUAUAAAUUUUAGACCGUGAGGCCAAACUUGGCAUGUGAUACCUUUUCGGAAAGCCCAAAGAGAGCUCUCCGAUGAAUGAGGACGCACAAUGGAAUUCUUUUAUUUGUUUUUUUCUACUCUAAAUUUUGACCUUAAUGUAUUUUUUCAGGCCUUUUUUGUGAAUCUUUGCUAUAUUACGGGGCAAAAAUUAAAUGUUCGGACAUUAUUUUUGAAUAUUUUGCGUUUAUCAAAGCUCAUAUAGACAAGAUAGGGUAUUCCUACAUAGCCGGUGGUACCCACGGGCAAAUGGAUCAUAAAGUCUUCAAAAAAGAAUAGAUACGAUUACAUUGCAUGUAGUAACGGAUGCGAUCAUACCAGCAAUCACUAGA